RNAcentral lists this ribosomal RNA (418 nucleotides) under uncultured bacterium. Its description in RNAcentral is "bacterial SSU rRNA". It matches the Rfam family "Bacterial small subunit ribosomal RNA", at positions 355 to 773 of the family's 1533-position model. The record is from RNAcentral.
UGGGGAAUAUUGGACAAUGGGCGGAAGCCUGAUCCAGCAACGCCGCGUGAGGGAUGACGGCCUUCGGGUUGUAAACCUCUUUCAGCACCGACGAAGCUCCACUUUUUGGUGGUUCGACGGUAGGUGCAGAUGAAGGACCGGCCAACUACGUGCCAGCAGCCGCGGUAAUACGUAGGGUCCGAGCGUUGUCCGGAAUUAUUGGGCGUAAAGGGCUCGUAGGCGGUUUGUCGCGUCGGGAGUGAAAACAUCUGGCUUAACUGGGUGCUUGCUUUCGAUACGGGCAGACUGGAGGUAUGCAGGGGAGAACGGAAUUCCUGGUGUAGCGGUGAAAUGCGCAGAUAUCAGGAGGAACACCGGUGGCGAAGGCGGUUCUCUGGGCAUGACCUGACGCUGAGGAGCGAAAGUGUGGGGAGCGAAC